GACGAACGCUGGCGGCGUGCUUAACACAUGCAAGUCGAACGGAAAGGCCCUGCUUUUGUGGGGUGCUCGAGUGGCGAACGGGUGAGUAACACGUGAGUAACCUGCCCUUUACUUUGGGAUAACUUCAGGAAACUGGGGCUAAUACCGGAUAGGAGCUCCUGCUGCAUGGUGGGGGUUGGAAAGUUUCGGCGGUUGGGGAUGGACUCGCGGCUUAUCAGCUUGUUGGUGGGGUAGUGGCUUACCAAGGCUUUGACGGGUAGCCGGCCUGAGAGGGUGACCGGACACAUUGGGACUGAGAUACGGCCCAGACUCCUACGGGAGGCAGCAGUGGGGAAUAUUGCACAAUGGGCGGAAGCCUGAUGCAGCAACGCCGCGUGCGGGAUGAAGGCCUUCGGGUUGUAAACCGCUUUCGCCGGUGACGAAGCGUGAGUGACGGUAAUGGGUAAAGAAGCACCGGCUAACUACGUG
RNAcentral lists this ribosomal RNA (468 nucleotides) under uncultured bacterium. Its description in RNAcentral is "partial 16S ribosomal RNA". It matches the Rfam family "Bacterial small subunit ribosomal RNA", at positions 28 to 507 of the family's 1533-position model. The record is from RNAcentral.